RNAcentral lists this non-coding RNA (66 nucleotides) under Leifsonia aquatica. RNAcentral also lists the same sequence under 1 other name. Lineage: Bacteria; Bacillati; Actinomycetota; Actinomycetes; Micrococcales; Microbacteriaceae. The record is from RNAcentral.
CUAGAUCGCCGUGGGAGCGAUCCCGGACGACGGUUCAGUACCCGGUGCGCGACAAGACUGGCCAGG